Molecule: transfer RNA, 75 nt
Filed under: Agrobacterium tumefaciens
Lineage: Bacteria; Pseudomonadati; Pseudomonadota; Alphaproteobacteria; Hyphomicrobiales; Rhizobiaceae
Also listed under: 1 other name
Description: tRNA-OTHER
Rfam family: tRNA
About the family: Transfer RNA (tRNA) molecules are approximately 80 nucleotides in length. Their secondary structure includes four short double-helical elements and three loops (D, anti-codon, and T loops).
Source: RNAcentral
GCGUCAGUAGCUCAACGGUAGAGCGACCGGAUUCCUACCCGGAGGAUGCGGGUUCGAAUCCCGUCUGGCGCUCCA